UUAAAGGACAAUUCCGGUAUUUUGAACAUUGAGCCCCCUUUCUGGUUUGUUUAGGAUGAAAUAGAGUGGGUGACACCGAAAUUUGAACUAUUAGUCCUUUCUCGGGUAUUUGGCUCAUUUUGAAUCGCUCCUGCCUGCUUCACAAUGGUUGUCUGUGUGCAUACACAAACCUGUCAACCCAGCAACCCUAAACGUUCGUUUUCAAAAAUGUGCAAGUAACCGAGUGGUUAGUGGCAUUCGUGAAGUUUAAAAAAAUUAUAUCGGCGCAAUAUAUGGUUUCUGUCCGUGUUAGUUGCUAAAUUGAACUAUUUUUUCAGAUACCUCACAACCGCAUAUAAACUUCCGCACAAGGUCCCACUCCGUGCAGCACCUACUUUCGACUUCCGUCGGCAUCUGCCUGCACUUCCCACAGGCACACCACCCGCCCGCGCCUCCGUAGCCCUAGCCUCCAUCUCACGUAGCUCCUCUUGGGUGAAUUCUGGUUCAAAACGAUAUCCUCUGCCGUCAAAAUCGAGUGCGUCCUCCAGAAGCCACCUUUCAUAAUCCAUUUUCAGUGAUUUUCUAUGUGAUUUUCCCUAAUCCGAAGUGCUCACGGUACAAGACUUCAAACCAACGUAAACAGCCCACCUUUCCGGUUCGGCGGAGUAAUAUCAUCGUGCAGUAAUGAGUCUUCCAACUGAAAUCAACUGGCGAUAAAUGUGCAAUAAAACACGACAGAAACCAUA
Molecule: long non-coding RNA, 725 nt
Organism: Gadus macrocephalus (Pacific cod)
Lineage: Eukaryota; Metazoa; Chordata; Actinopteri; Gadiformes; Gadidae
Exons: 2
Source: RefSeq, a predicted model, not a curated record